UACAGAGGUCUCAAGCGUUGUUCGGAUUCAUUGGGCGUAAAGGGUGCGUAGGCGGCGCGGUAAGUCGGGUGUGAAAUCUUGGAGCUCAACUCCGAAACUGCAUUUGAUACUGGCGUGCUUGAGGACUGGAGAGGAGACUGGAAUUCAUGGUGUAGCAGUGAAAUGCGUAGAGAUCAUGAGGAAGACCAGUGGCGAAGGCGGGUCUCUGGACAGUUCCUGACACUGAGGCACGAAGGCCAGGGGAGCAAACGGG
Molecule: ribosomal RNA, 253 nt
Filed under: uncultured bacterium
Lineage: Bacteria
Description: partial 16S ribosomal RNA
Rfam family: Bacterial small subunit ribosomal RNA
Source: RNAcentral